CCUACGGGAGGCAGCAGUGAGGAAUAUUGGUCAAUGGCCGGAAGGCUGAACCAGCCAUGCCGCGUGAAGGUCAGUGCCAUAUGGGCGUUAAACUUCUUUUGUGCGGGAGCAAUAAUGGUCACGUGUGGCCAGACGAGAGUACCGUACGAAUAAGCAUCGGCUAACUCCGUGCCAGCAGCCGCGGUAAUACGGGGGAUGCAAGCGUUAUCCGGAUUUAUUGGGUUUAAAGGGUGCGUAGGCUGUGAGGUAAGUCAGCGGUGAAAUGCCCCCGCUCAACGGGGUGAAGUGCCAUUGAUACUGCCUGGCUGGAAUGCGGAUGCCGUGGGAGGAAUGUGUGGUGUAGCGGUGAAAUGCAUAGAUAUCACACAGAACACCGAUUGCGAAGGCAUCUCACGAAUCCGCGAUUGACGCUGAUGCACGAAAGCGUGGGUAUCAAACAGGAUUAGAUACCCUGGUAGUC
Molecule: ribosomal RNA, 460 nt
Filed under: uncultured bacterium
Lineage: Bacteria
Description: partial 16S ribosomal RNA
Rfam family: Bacterial small subunit ribosomal RNA
Source: RNAcentral